Molecule: ribosomal RNA, 253 nt
Filed under: uncultured bacterium
Lineage: Bacteria
Description: partial 16S ribosomal RNA
Rfam family: Bacterial small subunit ribosomal RNA
Source: RNAcentral
UACGUAGGGUGCAAGCGUUGUUCGGAAUCAUUGGGCGUAAAGCGCGUGUAGGCGGUUAGGUAAGUCGGGUGUGAAAUCCCUGGGCUCAACCGAGGAAGUGCAUCCGAAACUGCUUAGCUGGAGGACGGUAGAGGAAGGUGGAAUUCCUAGUGUAGAGGUGAAAUUCGUAGAUAUUAGGAGGAAUACCGGUGGCGAAGGCGGCCUUCUGGGCCGAUCCUGACGCUGAGACGCGAAAGCGUGGGUAGCAAACAGG